Molecule: ribosomal RNA, 485 nt
Filed under: uncultured bacterium
Lineage: Bacteria
Description: bacterial SSU rRNA
Rfam family: Bacterial small subunit ribosomal RNA
Source: RNAcentral
GACGAAUGUUGGCGGCGUGUCUAAGGCAUGCAAGUCGAGCGGACGAUAUUUUGUAGCAAUACUAAAGAUCGUUAGCGGCAAACGGGUGCGUAACACAUUGGUAAUCUGCCUCGCAGUCGGGUAUAACUCGCCGAAAGGCGUGCUAAUCCCACGAUAUUCUUCACGUGUUAGUAACGUGCAAGGAAAGCAGUAAUGCGCUGCGAGAGGAGCCUAUGGCCUAUCAGCUAGUUGGUGAGGUAACGGCUCACCAAGGCUAUGACGGGUAGGGGAUGUGAGAGCAUGAUCCUCCUCACUGGAACUGAGACACUGUCCAGACACCUACGGGUGGCUGCAGUCGAGAAUAUUCCCCAAUGGGCGAAAGCCUGAGGGAGCGACGCCGCGUGUGCGAUGAAGGCCUCGGUCGUAAGCACUUUACCGUAGGAAGAACCUUAGACGGUACGUCGGAGAAUAAGGGUUAGCGUAACUACUGUGCCAGCAGCCGCGGU